RNA transcript from Raphanus sativus (radish), 4955 nucleotides. It is a transcript of the gene named pentatricopeptide repeat-containing protein At4g21880, mitochondrial, with no coding region annotated. Lineage: Eukaryota; Viridiplantae; Streptophyta; Magnoliopsida; Brassicales; Brassicaceae. The record is from RefSeq and is a predicted model, not a curated record. The transcript is spliced from 19 exons.
ACCCUCAGUUUUAGCGAUCAAUUACACAAAUGCCACUAGUCUCGGACACGAAACAUUGGAAGGGUUUAUCAAAGGGGUUUUUCUAAAUCACACACUUCUAAUGAAUGAAUGAAUCAUCAAUCAUCAUCUCCUCCUCUCUAGCCUCUAGGUCUAAGAUCUUCGUUUCGACACUCUCUCUACGUGAAGAAAUGGGUUUAAGGAAAGCGAAACGCAAACUUAGCUCCAUCUUCCGCGUAGCGAUGAGAAACGCCGGUAAAAAACCUCCAGACGCCGCCAGUACCGCCGAAGCCGUCGCCGGAGAGUCUCCUGAGAUGGAUUUUAUCGCUCAAGGAUCGGAAUCGUGGGGUUCAUUUCCGGACAUUCUCUUGCCGCUUAAGUCUUUCAUAGAUCCAUCCUACACUGGUCAACAAGAUUCUGGUGGAACGUCACUCGCUGGUCUAGUCUCUUCUGGCUUCGGUGUUGAAUCUAGGGAAAGAACUUCUUCUUCCAAGAAGAAGACACUGGAGCUCUCAGCUUUCCUCUCUGGGAAACUCCCUCCAUCGACGAAGAAACAGCACGUGGCGCGUGGGAGGUUGCAGUUCGAGACUUUCAAGAAAAACCAGUCGCAGCUUAUGAAGAAGCUCUCCAAGGGAUGCGCUCGGAAGCUGGGCCAAGAGACUACGUUCGAGGUGUUGUUUAAAAUGGGGAAAGAAGCGGGUGAAAGAGAGUAUAACGCUAGGAUUCAGCUCUGUGUGGGAAACGCGAGGAGGAGCAAUGACGCGGAGUAUGUGCUUGAUCAAGUUGGGAAAGCUAUCGAGUAUCUGAAAGAGAUGAGGCAAGGAGGGUUCUCUAUAAAGGAAGGGACUUACGGGCCGUUUUUUAGGUACUUGGUUGAUAUGGAGAUGGUGGAGGAGUUUCAGAUUUUUAAAGAGUUCAUUAGGGAGGCAAGUCCUGAGUCUGUUGAGAAGCUUGUCUACUAUGAGAUGCUUCUUUGGAUCCAAGUUGACGACGAAGAGAAGAUCCAUGAACUUUGUAAUACAGUUGAUGAUAGUGGGGGGAUAAGUUUAUCAGUCCUACAAGAAUAUCAUUUGGUUGCACUGUGUGAGAAAGACAGAAAGGAAAAUCUUCAGAAGCUUUUAGAGAUUGUCGACAUAACAAAAGUUUCUUCACCGGAAGUGUUGAAAAGCGUAUUUGAAUACCUUGGAAAAUCGCUAUUGGAGUGUGUUGCACUGAAAUUAAUUUGGCGACUAAGAGACUCAGGUGAAGUGGAGACAGUUUCAAAUCUUAUAUUUAGCUAUGCAUCAUGCAUCCCAAACUCCACGGUAGAGGAUACCAUUUUGAAAUUUAACAAGUUGCAUGAAGAACUAGAUAUUGUGCCUUCAUCUUCAUCCUAUGAGAAGCUCGUUAAUCAUCUUUGUGGCUCGAAUGAGGUGGCCACUGCUCUUGAUGUAGUUGAAAAUAUGUGUGAAGCAGGUCUCGAAAUAUCGGCAGACAUCCUACAUUCAUUAUUAGAUGCCAUUGGUCAGAUUCUUGAGUUUGAUUUGGUACAAACAAUCCAUUCGAUAAUGGGCAACAAGUGUGUCAAGCCAAACAGCGAGACUUUCAGGAGAUCGAUAAGUUUGUGCAUAAGAAUCAAAGAUUUUGAAGGUGCAUAUAAUAUGCUUGGUAAUUUGAAGAAUUUUAAUUUGGCUCCCAACUCUAGCAUGUACAAUUCUAUUAUGGCAGGAUAUUUCCGGGAGAAAAAUGUGGACAAGGCCUUAAUGGUCCUCAAGGAAAUGAAAGAAGCUGAAGUUAAACCUGAUUCUGUGACGUUUAGCUAUUUAAUAAACUAUUGCGACCAGGAGGAGGCUAUUGCGGAGUAUUAUAAGGAGAUGAAGCAAGCAGGAGUUCAAGCCAGUAAGCAAAUUUACAUGUCCCUUAUAAAAGCAUAUGCAUCAUGCCGACAGUUUGAAAAGGCAAAACAGGUGCUCAUGGACCAAGAAGUACCGACUAAGGAUCACAAUGAGCUGAAAAGUGUUCUUAUACAUGCUCUGGCAUCAAAUGGCAAUAUAACUGAUGCCUUGAGUAUUUAUGAAGAAAUGAAGGAAGCUGGCUGCCACGUAGAUCCAAAAACUGUUAUAACUCUUAUAGAUCAUGCUGAUUCAAACGAAGAGUUGACAACGUUGGCUAAACUCGCUCAUCAGCUGCAUGAUUCUAAAUAUUUGAUAGAUGGUCUCUUCAAAAUUGUCGUGUUUGCUGUCCGCAACAAUAAGUCGAGCUAUAUUCUUGAUUUGUUGAAGGAGACGAAGAACGAUUUGUCCAAGGAUGACAUCGCUGUGGAAUAUUGGUUGGAAGAGGUGUUUAGGUCAAUAGCAGAAACAGAGCCUAGUGAUGUGAAGCUGGGGCUGGACUUGUUGAGCUUUAUGAAGGAAGAGCUAGGGUUAUGUCCUUCAAGAAAAUGUCUAGAUUUUCUUCAACAUGCUUGUGUCAAUGCCAAGGAUAAGCAGACCGCUCUACUGGUAUGGCAAGAGUACCAAUUUGCAGAACUCCCUUACAAUGUCCUCAACUAUCUAAGGAUGUAUCAGGUGCUAGUGGCUGCAGGAGAUUCAAAAAGUGCAAAAGAAAUAGAUUCCAUGAUUCCUAAUGAUGACAGAGAUGUUAGAUGUAUAAUCAAAGAAAGCCGUGUUGUAUUUACUCCAAAACCAAAAAAGAAAAUGCCAAAAAGGAAACGAUUAUCUUGCCAAGCAAAGUAGGAUCAUCAGUUACAGCCCCAAUUGAUGAAGCCGUUGCUGUAACAUGGAAGAUUACUGGACUCUGCACAAGUCCUUACAGGUGAGCGGAAAGGGUUAGGAGCAACUGGGUGAGAUAUAUUCAGCCCUGCAUUACGCAAAACCGCCUUUGCAUUGCCGCAAGCAUCUUCUGUCUUAUCAGUGAAGAAACCUGGGAUGCGCAGAUUGUUCACUGCCUCAACUGCUCCUGGCCAGCUUGAGUACCUGUCCAGGUCACAGUUCAAGGCGACAACGAUGUCUGGUGAUGCCAGAUAAGUCAGAUGGAACUUCAGGUCCAACCAUUAUGAUCUGCACGGUUCCUAUACCGUUAAGUAAGUGACUGAUCUCCGCAAAUGCUUUAAUCCAGUCGAGUUCUCGUUCUGGACCUAAGUAAUGGACAGUCACUUCUUUCCCUUUGAGCAACAGGUUCGUGGAAUGGGUGCUUAGUGUUGUUAAUAUGUGGUAAAGCGUUAAAGGGUAGGAGAGAAUAUCAGAAACAGGGCUUGAUGGUGGUAGACACCUAACAUCAUAGUAAUCUGACCAAUCUGACAAGAAAAUCAUACCCUGUGAACGCCCGUUGUUCAGAUUCUGAAUUGGUAAAUCCUGUGGAUAAUCACCGUCCUGGAGCCCUCCCCAUGAGUCAUCAUCUGAGGAAGAGACAUGUAAGAGCCCAAAAGGACGCUGAGAAUAGCAACUGCAUUGUCCUCUCCACAUUCCCUUUUUGUGGACACCCAAAGAUUCAAGCCAUACACAUGGGUUUUCAGCAUAGCACGAGAAAGUGAAGAUCUUCAUCUUGAGCUCUUCUUCUCUACCCAUCAUAGCUUCAUAGAGAUUACAAACACUCCGGUGCAUCUCUCGCCAGUGCCGUUUCUCACAGUCUGAACCACAGUAGAUGGUUGCACUGCAAUGGCUACAACAAACAGACUCAUCUCUAUGAACAGCUUUGUCACACAUUGUGCACCGUCUUAACCCCACUUCUGCACCUUGACCAACUUGCAGAUUGGUCAUGCUUGAAACUAGCUCCAGUUCAUCAUCAUCACGUGCCAUUACCGCAGUUUUGUUCCACUUCUGCUCAUAUGAUUGACCAGGCGGAUGCGAAACCGUGACAGCAACAAAAUCAUGUCCUUUAAACAUCUCUGGUGGCCACUGAACAUCAACAGUCUCUAUAAAAGGUGAAAACUUCAUCAUCCUUGGCAAUCCCCGGACUUGCUUCUCCUCUUGAAGCAGCAAAGGAUGAACCAAAGUAAGAGCUUUCAUUACCGCAAACACCAGCCUGAGCUCUUCGAGUGUCGGGCUUCUGAACUGGAGCUCACCGGAGGUCAUGCACCGAGCAACGUCGAUAACCGGAAACCGGUCAGUUCCAGAAACUUCUAAAGACAAAGACUUGACCAUUCUCCUGUUACAAGGAAGCAUCAUUGACUCAAGCUCAUACGUAACUCUAAAAACAUCAACAUUAGGAACUCUAACCAUUUCCCAUGAAUCAUCAUCAGUCAUCUUCAGUGCAUAGCUCAUUGAUCUAUACAUGUAGAUUGCUAUAUCACCACCAUCCCCUCCUAUGAACUGAACACACUGGAAAGGCUGUCUCUUUCCUGACCAAUCAGAGUCUUUUCCAACCCGAACACUGAACAAGUGACCUGGUCUGAGCCUCCUCCAUGGCUCACUUCUGUAUAAAGAAGCUGAAGCUCUGAAAAUGGAAUGGAUGACGUUGGGAGAUAUACCUUCAACUUUCAUGAGGCAAACACCUGAUCCAGGUCCAAGACCAGGGCCUGACCCGAACUGAUCCUGGAAUCUACCAAAUAAGCUCUUCAAAUGCAAAUCCAUUCUUCUAACUUUAACUUUCGUCCCAAAAGAGAAGUCAGAUCUGAGUGAAGAAGGAGCUCUGUUCAAUAGAGUUGUUCAGUUUCUAAAAGCAAAGCAGAGAAAAACAAAAAUUUCAGAUGAAUUUGAAUUCUAGAAGAUGGCAAACUAUGGUCUUGAGCAGUUAAAACGGUCAUGCCUCAACCGACAAAACAAAAGUAAAAAGCAGUAUCUAUGCAUAUUUAAUUUUCUUAAGAUAAGAGGUGUUAUACCAUAGAUGUCAUACAAUAAAGAGUAAUACUUCAUAAUUGACAUCUGAUGCUACGUCAUCAAAAUUCUUUUCAGAGAACUAUUACUUUAGCCGACAAUUAUAUUUGCACCAUCCCAUGUUGUUUUACAAAGAUUUAUUUGAUGCUAAAUGUUUUAUGUUAA